Non-coding RNA from Oncorhynchus mykiss (rainbow trout), 834 nucleotides. The record is from RefSeq and is a predicted model, not a curated record. NCBI's taxonomy places the organism in Eukaryota, Metazoa, Chordata, Actinopteri, Salmoniformes, Salmonidae.
AACAGCCACAUAAUUGCCGGUGUGAAACUUUUCCAUAAGUCGACCUCAGUUGCCGUUUGGAAAUGUCGGCAGAACUAUGAUGAUAUGGUGUUGGUCGAUAAGACCAGCUGGCUGGCAAGGAAUGAUAUAUUACCAUGAACGUUUUGCGGACCUUUGAUGUCGUUUUUGGCACGAGUCCUCCAAGUUUGAUUCGCUCACUGGGUCGGAGGGAUUCAAUAUAAAUGAAAAAGCCUGGACUGUUGAAGAGCGGAAGCUCAUCAUAGAGACCUGGGGCAAAAUCAAGGUCAAAGUGUUCGGACCCCUUGCUUUGAGAUGGUCGGCUUAUAAUAUUGCAAGGAGAUAAAAUAUAUUGAUAAUUUAUCAUUUUACCUUUCUAGUCUUGUCUUAUAUGUGUGCGCAAUUCAUUUAAUUAAAUUGAUUAGUUUAUAUUAUGUCUGUUAUAAUGUAAUUUGUAUUUUCCAUGUGUCUUAUUGUAUAUCCAUGGACUCAGAGGUACUUUGGAACCUUUGGAGACUUAAACAGCGCAGUGGCUAUCAUGGGCAAUAAAAAAGUUGUCAACCAUGGCAUCACCGUGCAGAACGGCCUCGUGUGAGCUGUGCAGCAUAUGGAUGACGUCAAUAACACCUACGUCGAGCUGAGCGUUCUGCACUCUGAGAGACUUCAUGUGGAUCCCGACAACUUCAGGAUGGGGCGCGGCUUCAUGCCGGACGUCCAAGCGGCCUGGCAGAAGUUCCUGACCGUGGUCGUCUCUGCGCUGGGCAGACAGUACUACUAAAGACAUGUUCUAUUAUAGAAGACAGUUUGUAUGAAUAAUACAAUAUAUUGUUAAGCACA